Molecule: long non-coding RNA, 633 nt
Organism: Zophobas morio
Lineage: Eukaryota; Metazoa; Arthropoda; Insecta; Coleoptera; Tenebrionidae
Exons: 3
Source: RefSeq, a predicted model, not a curated record
UAACUGUGAUUUAUUAUUUUUACUGAAUAGAAAAUGCGCGUUCGAACCAAUAAAUAGAAGAAAUAAUCUUGUGGAAACUGUACACAGGGCACAGGAGUGUGGUAUGCUGGUAUGGACACAGUUGCGAGGGCUGCUUUUAUAUAUCAGCCACAUGAAGGGCUGCAACAUAAAAGGUGAAUGCUUCAUGUAGCAUCUUACGAUUACCAAAUGGUGGAUCAUCACCAAAGGCGUUGAAGUGACAGAGAAGUUUAUCAUCUAUGAUAACAUUACGUGCAAUGACAAAAUAACUACAUGUGCCACAGAUUUCAAGAGAAAUUUAAAGAAGCUGCUGAAGCAGGUUUUUUCAUUGUGCCUGCAAUCACGAGGUGGUCUACCACUGCAGUCCAUGUUACUAUGAAAAGGUUCUCACAAUCACUUCACUAAUUUCACUAGCAACAAAUAUUCAACCAAAAACAAAGUACUUUUCCCAGGGAAGAUGAAAACAACAGCGUUCACUUUCUGACUCUUCAAAUGGUUCACACUUGGCGAAAAUUGAAGGCAUUGACAAAAUAGUUGUCAAUGCCUUGUUAAAUAGUUGUUAAAUGUUUAUGUUGAAAUUAACUUGGUAAAGUGAUAGACUUUUACUAAUAAAUA